RNAcentral lists this ribosomal RNA (170 nucleotides) under uncultured bacterium. RNAcentral's name for it is "partial 16S ribosomal RNA". It matches the Rfam family "Bacterial small subunit ribosomal RNA", at positions 338 to 520 of the family's 1533-position model. The record is from RNAcentral.
CCUAGGGGAGGCAGCAGUAGGGAAUAUUGGGCAAUGGGCGCAAGCCUGACCCAGCGACGCCGCGUGAGGGAUGAAGGCCUUCGGGUUGUAAACCGCUUUCAGUAGGGAAGAAGCGAAAGUGACGGUACCUAAAGAAGAAGCACCGGCUAACUAUGUGCCAGCAGCCGCGG